CACCCGGUCCCAUCCCGAACCCGGAAGUUAAGUGCCUUAGCGCCAAUGGUACUGCGUCUUAAGACGUGGGAGAGUAGGUCACCGCCAAAC
Molecule: ribosomal RNA, 90 nt
Filed under: Roseobacter sp.
Lineage: Bacteria; Pseudomonadati; Pseudomonadota; Alphaproteobacteria; Rhodobacterales; Roseobacteraceae
Source: RNAcentral